CGAGCUUCUCGAGAUGGCUGGAGUGCCAAAGAUUUCCACAGACAUUGUGACAAUAAAGGACCAACAGUUGUUUUGGUGAAAGCCAAUAACUAUAUUUUUGGUGGAUACACUGACCAAAAUUGGGGAGGUAUGCAUGGUGUCCCGAAAAAAUGCCCCUUACUACUUAUUUUGUUGUGAUUACUACUAGUACUCUAACAGAAGUUUCGAUAUCGAUCAGGCUUUAAGCCGGAUGGAAUGACUAUCAUGUUGUGUCACUCGAAUACGUUUCGAUUUGAUUCGCGCAUGAAAAGAAAAAAAUGUGAUAAACAAAUUUAACUUAACGAACAGUCAUACGCGACUGGUGAAUAGCAACAUGGUUGGUAUAAUCGGCAUGAACCUUGUACCCAGGGCUCGCUUCUGGCGCUGUGUGGUUGAAUCGGCCGUCAAAUAAUCGGCUUCAGUAAUUGGAUAUUUUUGUGAUCGGCUGAUCUGAAACAUAUUUUUCAUAACUUGGACAAGUCCAAAAAUAUAGGUGUUGCCACCUUCCGUGAUCCUAGAAGACAAAUGGUUGCUUAUAAUAGACACAUCUAGAACAAAUAUACGGUAUAAAAUGAAUGACAUGAUACGUUAUUCUCUAUUAAAACAUAGUAAUACCACAAAAUAUAGGGGGGGGGGGGGGCAUUGUUUUGGGGCGCCCGCAUGUAUGUUGUUUACUAAUUAUCUAGCUGUAGGGCUAGAUUUUUGGAUCUUACAGGACAGCAAAUAUUGCACCGCCUUCGUGAAAUUCACAAUUCGUUAAAAAAAUUAAUAUUUUUAAAAAAAAACGUUAUUGAAUGAUGUACAGUAAGUGCGUGUUAGUAAAUUGUAG
Paramuricea clavata is the source of this 847-nucleotide non-coding RNA. The record is from the annotation of a GenBank genome assembly. NCBI's taxonomy places the organism in Eukaryota, Metazoa, Cnidaria, Anthozoa, Malacalcyonacea, Plexauridae.